CCGGGUGAGUAACACGUGACUAACCUACCCUAGAGUGGGGGAUAACCUCGGGAAACCGGGGCUAAUACCGCAUAACAUCGCAAGGGGAAGAUCCUUGCGAUCAAAGGAGCAAUUCGCUCAAGGAGGGGGUCGCGGCUGAUUAGCUAGUUGGUGAGGUAACGGCCCACCAAGGCUUAGAUCAGUAGCCGGCCUGAGAGGGCGCACGGCCACACUGGAACUGAAACACGGUCCAGACUCCUACGGGAGGCAGCAGUGGGGAAUUUUGCGCAAUGGGGGAAACCCUGACGCAGCAACGCCGCGUGGAGGAUGAAGUCCCUUGGGAUGUAAACUCCUUUCGAUCGGGACGAUUAUGACGGUACCGGAAGAAGAAGCACCGGCUAACUCUGUGCCAGCAGCCGCGG
This 401-nucleotide ribosomal RNA is filed under the name uncultured bacterium. RNAcentral's name for it is "bacterial SSU rRNA". It matches the Rfam family "Bacterial small subunit ribosomal RNA", at positions 100 to 520 of the family's 1533-position model. The record is from RNAcentral.